Long non-coding RNA from Lathyrus oleraceus (garden pea), 782 nucleotides. RefSeq lists it as uncharacterized. The record is from RefSeq and is a predicted model, not a curated record. Lineage: Eukaryota; Viridiplantae; Streptophyta; Magnoliopsida; Fabales; Fabaceae. The transcript has 7 exons.
GGCUGAAGGGCUGAUAUGUACUCAGAACUGGUUGAAGCCAGCUCGUACAUAUUUCAAAGACAUCAGUUACAUAGAAGAGUUUGGGAUAACUGAGGAAAUCAUAUCAGAAUUUCAACAAUGCUUCAUAACCGCAAAUAUUGGGGCUGCUGGAGCUGGAGCAGCAGUUGGAGGUGCUACUGGUGCUGCUGUAGGUUCUACUCAAACACAACCAAUAGGUUGUGAUUGAGAAAUAUGAUGCUUCUAAUUUUUUUGAAAUCAUUUUGAUAUUUUGGAGUCAUAUAUGACUUGUACAUCUUGGCACAACACAUAAUUAUAUUUUGUAAGCCUUUUUUGGGAGGUCAAAUUUUCUGUGAUGAAUCUUGGCACUCACUCAAGCUUCAAUGAAAUUAGAUUAAGAUGUUUUGCUUGUUGGAAUUUGGCAUUUUGUUUUCAAAUGUUUGGCUUGCUUACUAUGAGACUGCUCAUUUGUCAAAGAGUUGUGAAUUGAAAGCCACAAAACUCUAUAACAGGUCAAGCUCUAGAAUAGGCAUUGCUGAGUUGAACCAUGGGAAAGUGAAUGCUCAAUAGAUUUAAUUGGUGUACAAACAAUAGGUUCCGUUGAUAUCAAGGUUCAGCAUAUGCAGAUUCAACAUACCCCAAUUCAACAAAUAUGCCAAUUCAACAAUGCAUAAUGGUUUAUCUAUAUCUUUAUCUCAAGAACUACAAUCACAAUAUUUGUCCUUCUUGUUGGAUGAAUUAUUGAUCAUGUUGCUUGUUGGAUGGUUUUAAACUUCUUUGAUACU